RNAcentral lists this ribosomal RNA (620 nucleotides) under uncultured gamma proteobacterium TIHP302-07. RNAcentral's name for it is "bacterial SSU rRNA". It matches the Rfam family "Bacterial small subunit ribosomal RNA", at positions 50 to 667 of the family's 1533-position model. Lineage: Bacteria; Pseudomonadati; Pseudomonadota; Gammaproteobacteria. The record is from RNAcentral.
AACACAUGCAAGUCGAGCGCGAAAGCACUUCGGUGUGAGUAGAGCGGCGGACGGGUGAGUAACGCGUAGGAAUCUACCUGGUAGUGGGGGACAACCUGGGGAAACCCAGGCUAAUACCGCAUACGCCCUGAGGGGGAAAGCGGGGGAUCUUCGGACCUCGCGCUAUUGGAUGAGCCUGCGUCGGAUUAGCUAGUUGGUGGGGUAAAGGCCCACCAAGGCGACGAUCCGUAGCUGGUCUGAGAGGACGAUCAGCCACACUGGGACUGAGACACGGCCCAGACUCCUACGGGAGGCAGCAGUGGGGAAUAUUGCGCAAUGGGGGCAACCCUGACGCAGCCAUGCCGCGUGUGUGAAGAAGGCUCUAGGGUUGUAAAGCACUUUCAAUUGGGAGAAAAAGCCCAUUUUUAAUACGGAUGGGUCUUGAUGUUACCUUUAGAAGAAGCACCGGCUAACUCCGUGCCAACAGCCGCGGUAAUACGGAGGGUGCAAGCGUUGUUCGGAAUUACUGGGCGUAAAGCGCGCGUAGGCGGCUAUGUAAGUCAGAUGUUAAAGCCCGCGGCUCAACCGUGGAAGUGCAUUUGAAACUGUAUAGCUUGAGUUCUGGAGGGGGGUAAUGGAAU